Molecule: ribosomal RNA, 492 nt
Filed under: uncultured bacterium
Lineage: Bacteria
Description: partial 16S ribosomal RNA
Rfam family: Bacterial small subunit ribosomal RNA
Source: RNAcentral
AGUGAACGCUGGCGGUAGGCCUAACACAUGCAAGUCGAACGGCAGCACAGUAAGAGCUUGCUCUUACGGGUGGCGAGUGGCGGACGGGUGAGGAAUACAUCGGAAUCUACUUUUUCGUGGGGGAUAACGUAGGGAAACUUACGCUAAUACCGCAUACGACCUACGGGUGAAAGCAGGGGAUCUUCGGACCUUGCGCGAUUGAAUGAGCCGAUGUCGGAUUAGCUAGUUGGCGGGGUAAAGGCCCACCAAGGCGACGAUCCGUAGCUGGUCUGAGAGGAUGAGCAGCCACCCUGGAACUGUGACACGGUGCAGACGCCUACGGGAGGCAGCAGUGGGGAAUAUUGGACAAUGGGCGCAAGCCUGAUCCAGCCAUACCGCGUGGGUGAAGAAGGCCUUCGGGUUGUAAAGCCCUUUUGUUGGGAAAGAAAAGCAGCAGGUUAAUACCCCGCUGUUCUGACGGUACCCAAAGAAUAAGCACCGGCUAACUUCGUG